Molecule: long non-coding RNA, 200 nt
Filed under: Ricinus communis (castor bean)
Lineage: Eukaryota; Viridiplantae; Streptophyta; Magnoliopsida; Malpighiales; Euphorbiaceae
Description: long non-coding RNA (RCOM_LNC002625)
Source: RNAcentral
GAAAACGGACGGGAAUUCAUCAAGAUCGGACAAGUGCUCGCAGUACAUACAUUGAGCACGGCCUAGGUCAAGGCCGUGCUAAUCACCACGGCCUCGAAUCUAGCCGUGACCAACCAUGAGCUUUUGGUCUUCAAAACAUGGCACUUUGGGCACGGUUUCCGUAGCCACCACGGCCUCUAGCACGGCCCGUGGUGGCUCAG